Molecule: ribosomal RNA, 255 nt
Filed under: uncultured bacterium
Lineage: Bacteria
Description: partial 16S ribosomal RNA
Rfam family: Bacterial small subunit ribosomal RNA
Source: RNAcentral
UACGAAGGGGGCUAGCGUUGCUCGGAAUCACUGGGCGUAAAGGGUGCGUAGGCGGGUCUUUAAGUCAGGGGUGAAAUCCUGGAGCUCAACUCCAGAACUGCCUUUGAUACUGAAGAUCUUGAGUUCGGGAGAGGUGAGUGGAACUGCGAGUGUAGAGGUGAAAAUUCGUAGAUAUUCGCAAGAACACCAGUGGCGAAGGCGGCUCACUGGCCCGAUACUGACGCUGAGGCACGAAAGCGUGGGGAGCAAACAGGG